This 77-nucleotide transfer RNA is filed under the name Oscillospiraceae bacterium. Its description in RNAcentral is "tRNA-Arg". It matches the Rfam family "tRNA". From Rfam's summary of the family: Transfer RNA (tRNA) molecules are approximately 80 nucleotides in length. Their secondary structure includes four short double-helical elements and three loops (D, anti-codon, and T loops). Further hydrogen bonds mediate the characteristic L-shaped molecular structure. tRNAs have two regions of fundamental functional importance: the anti-codon, which is responsible for specific mRNA codon recognition, and the 3' end, to which the tRNAs corresponding amino acid is attached (by aminoacyl-tRNA synthetases). tRNAs cope with the degeneracy of the genetic code in two manners: having more than one tRNA (with a specific anti-codon) for a particular amino acid; and 'wobble' base-pairing, i.e. permitting non-standard base-pairing at the 3rd anti-codon position. Lineage: Bacteria; Bacillati; Bacillota; Clostridia; Eubacteriales; Oscillospiraceae. The record is from RNAcentral.
GCCCCGAUAGCUCAGCUGUAUAGAGCAGCCGCCUCCUAAGCGGCAGGUCGGAGGUUAGAAUCCUCUUCGGGGUGCCA